Molecule: ribosomal RNA, 484 nt
Filed under: uncultured bacterium
Lineage: Bacteria
Description: partial 16S ribosomal RNA
Rfam family: Bacterial small subunit ribosomal RNA
Source: RNAcentral
AUUGAACGCUGGCGGCAGGCCUAACACAUGCAAGUCGAGCGGAUGAAGGGAGCUUGCUCCUGGAUUCAGCGGCGGACGGGUGAGUAAUGCCUAGGAAUCUGCCUGGUAGUGGGGGAUAACGUCCGGAAACGGGCGCUAAUACCGCAUACGUCCUGAGGGUGAAAGGGGGGGAUCUUCGGACCUCACGCUAUCAGAUGAGCCUAGGUCGGAUUAGCUAGUUGGUGGGGUAAAGGCCUACCAAGGCGACGAUCCGUAACUGGUCUGAGAGGAUGAUCAGUCACACUGGAACUGAGACACGGUCCAGACUCCUACGGGAGGCAGCAGUGGGGAAUAUUGGACAAUGGGCGAAAGCCUGAUCCAGCCAUGCCGCGUGUGUGAAGAAGGUCUUCGGAUUGUAAAGCACUUCAAGUUGGGAGGAAGGGCAGUAAGUUAAUACCUUGCUGUUUUGACGUUACCAACAGAAUAAGCACCGGCUAACUUCGUG